This is a long non-coding RNA of Prionailurus viverrinus (fishing cat), 406 nucleotides long. RefSeq lists it as uncharacterized. The record is from RefSeq and is a predicted model, not a curated record. Lineage: Eukaryota; Metazoa; Chordata; Mammalia; Carnivora; Felidae. The transcript is spliced from 3 exons.
CUGACAUUCCCCUCUCGCACCGCAACAGAGAUCAGGUCGAGUGACGCCUGCUGGGGGGUGACGACACGGAAAGCUGCCAGCACAAAGAGAUCCCACUUAACCCCACAACCCCUUGGACGAUGCCAACACCGGUCCUCGGGAGACACCCAGGGCAGCCCCAGCCCCUUCCCCACUGGUCCCCACUGAUCCCGGGGGCUGGAGGCCACCUGCAGUUCACAGAAUUUGUGUGCGUCUCUGACACCGGCAAUUCCCAGGGGACAGAUCAGGAAGACAGUUUUCCACCUCUGGACCCUGCGUGGAACCGUCACCAGCAUUUGGAUGAAUCCUCUGAUCCGUGACUCCACCCACCUGGCAUGAAGGCGUGGAGCCCCCUGCAGAUCCCCCCCCAACCCUCAUGGAGAAAGAC